Molecule: ribosomal RNA, 253 nt
Filed under: uncultured bacterium
Lineage: Bacteria
Description: partial 16S ribosomal RNA
Rfam family: Bacterial small subunit ribosomal RNA
Source: RNAcentral
UACGGGGGGGGCAAGCGUUGUUCGGAAUUACUGGGCGUAAAGGGCUCGUAGGCGGCCAACUAAGUCGGACGUGAAAUCCCUCGGCUUAACCGGGGAACUGCGUCCGAUACUGGAUGGCUUGAGUUCGGGAGAGGGAUGCGGAAUUCCAGGUGUAGCGGUGAAAUGCGUAGAUAUCGUAAGGAAGACCAGUGGCGAAGGCGGGUCUCUGGACAGUUCCUGACGCUGAUGCACGAAGGCCAGGGGAGCAAACGGG